CCUACGGGGGGCUGCAGUGGGGAAUAUUGGACAAUGGGGGGAACCCUGAUCCAGCCAUGCCGCGUGUGUGAAGAAGGCCCUCGGGUUGUAAAGCACUUUCAGUGAGGAAGAACGCCUGGUGGUUAAUACCCAUCAGGAAAGACAUCACUCACAGAAGAAGCACCGGCUAACUCCGUGCCAGCAGCCGCGGUAAUACGGAGGGUGCGAGCGUUAAUCGGAAUUACUGGGCGUAAAGCGCGCGUAGGUGGCUUGAUAAGCCGGUUGUGAAAGCCCCGGGCUCAACCUGGGAACGGCAUCCGGAACUGUCAAGCUAGAGUGCAGGAGAGGAAGGUAGAAUUCCCGGUGUAGCGGUGAAAUGCGUAGAGAUCGGGAGGAAUACCAGUGGCGAAGGCGGCCUUCUGGACUGACACUGACACUGAGGUGCGAAAGCGUGGGUAGCAAACAGUAUUAGAUACCCGAGUAGUC
RNAcentral lists this ribosomal RNA (465 nucleotides) under Vreelandella stevensii. RNAcentral describes it as "partial 16S ribosomal RNA". It matches the Rfam family "Bacterial small subunit ribosomal RNA", at positions 338 to 795 of the family's 1533-position model. The record is from RNAcentral. Lineage: Bacteria; Pseudomonadati; Pseudomonadota; Gammaproteobacteria; Oceanospirillales; Halomonadaceae.